GACGAACGCUGGCGGCGUGCCUAACACAUGCAAGUCGAACGGGAUCCAUGAGAGCUUGCUCUCGGAAGAUCUAGUGGCGAACGGGUGAGUAACACGUGAGAAACCUGCCCUGGAGUGGGGAAUAACUCGGGGAAACCCGAGCUAAUACCGCAUACCCUUGGAUGAUCGCAUGGUCGACCAAGGAAAGAUUUAUCGCUCUAGGAGGGUCUCGCGGCCUAUCAGCUAGUUGGUGGGGUAAUGGCCUACCAAGGCAACGACGGGUAGCUGGUUUGAGAGAACGAUCAGCCACACUGGGACUGAGACACGGCCCAGACUCCUACGGGAGGCAGCAGUGGGGAAUCUUGCGCAAUGGGCGAAAGCCUGACGCAGCAACGCCGCGUGCGGGAUGACGGCCUUCGUGGUUGUAAACCGCUUUCAGCAGGGACGAAAUGACGGUACCUGCAGAAGAAGCCCCGGCUAACUACGUGCCAGCAGCCGCGGUAAU
Molecule: ribosomal RNA, 484 nt
Filed under: uncultured bacterium
Lineage: Bacteria
Description: bacterial SSU rRNA
Rfam family: Bacterial small subunit ribosomal RNA
Source: RNAcentral